GGCUGAAAUUAGCCUUCAUGAAGCUGGAAUUGCUAGUAAUGGCAGGUCAGCAUACUGCCGUGAAUACGUUCCCGGGCCUUGUACACACCGCCCGUCACACCAUGAGAGUUGGGAAUACCCGAAGCCUGUGAGCUAACUUAUAGAGGCAGCAGUCGAAGGUAGAAUCAAUGAUUGGGGUGAAGUCGUAACAAGGUAAC
RNAcentral lists this ribosomal RNA (197 nucleotides) under uncultured bacterium. RNAcentral describes it as "partial 16S ribosomal RNA". It matches the Rfam family "Bacterial small subunit ribosomal RNA", at positions 1303 to 1500 of the family's 1533-position model. The record is from RNAcentral.